GUGCCAGCAGUCGCGGUAAUACGGAGGGUGCGAGCGUUAAUCGGAAUUACUGGGCGUAAAGGGCGCGUAGGCGGUCGCGCAAGUCGGGUGUGAAAGCCCCGGGCUCAACCUGGGAAUUGCAUUCGAUACUGCGUAACUAGAGUCUGGUAGAGGGAAGCGGAAUUCCGCAUGUAGCGGUGAAAUGCGUAGAUAUGCGGAGGAACACCAGUGGCGAAGGCGGCUUCCUGGACCAAGACUGACGCUGAGGCGCGAAAGCGUGGGGGAGCAAACAGGAUUAGAUACCCUGGUAGUCCACGCCCUAAACGAUGAGGACUAGACGUUGGGGGGAUAAAACCCUUUAGUGUCGCAGCUAACGCGUGAAGUCCUCCGCCUGGGGAGUACGGCCGCAAGGUUGAAACUCAAAUGAAUUGGCGG
This 414-nucleotide ribosomal RNA is filed under the name uncultured bacterium. RNAcentral describes it as "bacterial SSU rRNA". It matches the Rfam family "Bacterial small subunit ribosomal RNA", at positions 505 to 916 of the family's 1533-position model. The record is from RNAcentral.